Hydra vulgaris (swiftwater hydra) is the source of this 475-nucleotide long non-coding RNA. RefSeq lists it as uncharacterized. The record is from RefSeq and is a predicted model, not a curated record. NCBI's taxonomy places the organism in Eukaryota, Metazoa, Cnidaria, Hydrozoa, Anthoathecata, Hydridae.
GAAGAAAGAAAAAAGUUUUUUUUAAAUUACAAUUUAUAAGUAAUAAUAUAUUGAUUGCUGCCUUGUUCUAUAUAAAUGUAACUAACAUACAUUUAUAUAGAACAAACUUACUCAUUUUGUUUAAACUACUACAUUAUCAACAGACAGGUUUGACUGGCAAUAUAACUUUUUGUUUAUUUAUUUAGCCGUAUUUUCACAAGUUUCGUGUUUAUAAUAUGUAUAUAAUUGGCAAGGAUGUGAAGGAAACAGGUUUCUAAAUGAUGUUGUAGAUCAUGCAGAUAGUUUGGGCGAAAAAGAAGAAAUAAUCUUAUUGGUGAAAUAGACAAUGAUACUAACUGUGGUGAAAAUAGUAAUGAAUAUCAAAAUAUAAAUGGUACUUUGUUCGAUGUUUUUCUGGUUCUACAGACGCAAUUAGUGGUGCAAUCUCUCUUAUAAAUGGACUUGAUGUUUUUUUGGAUUUAAUAUGUUGUAUUAA